GACGAAGGGGGCUAGCGUUGUUCGGAAUUACUGGGCGUAAAGAGCGCGUAGGCGGUCUGGUAAGUUGGGAGUGAAAGCCCGGGGCUUAACCUCGGAAUUGCUUUCAAAACUGCCAGGCUAGAGUGUAGUAGGGGAUGAUGGAAUUCCUAGUGUAGAGGUGAAAUUCUUAGAUAUUAGGAGGAACACCGGUGGCGAAGGCGGUCAUCUGGGCUACAACUGACGCUGAGGCGCGAAAGCGUGGGGAGCAAACAGG
Molecule: non-coding RNA, 253 nt
Filed under: uncultured bacterium
Lineage: Bacteria
Also listed under: 2 other names
Description: partial 16S ribosomal RNA
Rfam family: Bacterial small subunit ribosomal RNA
Source: RNAcentral